This 468-nucleotide ribosomal RNA is filed under the name uncultured bacterium. RNAcentral's name for it is "partial 16S ribosomal RNA". It matches the Rfam family "Bacterial small subunit ribosomal RNA", at positions 28 to 507 of the family's 1533-position model. The record is from RNAcentral.
GACGAACGCUGGCGGCGUGCUUAACACAUGCAAGUCGAACGGAAAGGCCUUGCUUUUGUGGGGUGCUCGAGUGGCGAACGGGUGAGUAACACGUGAGUAACCUGCCCUUGACUUUGGGAUAACUUCAGGAAACUGGGGCUAAUACCGGAUAGGAGCUCCUGCUGCAUGGUGGGGGUUGGAAAGUUUCGGCGGUUGGGGAUGGACUCGCGGCUUAUCAGCUUGUUGGUGGGGUAGUGGCUUACCAAGGCUUUGACGGGUAGCCGGCCUGAGAGGGUGACCGGCCACAUUGGGACUGAGAUACGGCCCAGACUCCUACGGGAGGCAGCAGUGGGGAAUAUUGCACAAUGGGCGGAAGCCUGAUGCAGCAACGCCGCGUGCGGGAUGACGGCCUUCGGGCUGUAAACCGCUUUCGCCUGUGACGAAGCGUGAGUGACGGUAAUGGGUAAAGAAGCACCGGCUAACUACGUG